GCAUCAUGUGCGUUAUCUGAUCAUAGAUGGACUAUCUUUCAAAUGUUUGGGGGCUGUUGUGAUCCCCAAAAACAUAAAUUAGGUUAAAAAUUCUAAUCAUGGUGGUUUUUGUCACCCAAUUAAAAAAUAUUAAAAACUACGGUUAUACCUAGAAAGGUUUGAGUAACUCUUGGCCUUAAAAUGAGCUUUAUAUUUGAAAAUACUGAGAGCGAAUACAUUAGGUGGAGAAGAAUAUUCUUUCCUUCUCAGUGCCUAUCGGGAGGGUUACACUGCCAUGUGGAAAUAGAGGGAGCCUGAAGGGACUAAGCUUAGCAGAGGUUACGGAGACAGGACACACUGGAGAUCUCUCCGCCUCAACAAAGAGACUGCAGCCUAACCCAAAUCCAGGGAGUGAGGCAAAAAUGCCAUUCCAAUGCAAGCAAGCACCAAGCUCUUGGGGUAGAAGGCCUUGUCUGAGGAGGAGAGCUGGGUCAAGGUUAUGCGGCCUUUUGUAGUAGCCAAACCCUGAAUCAAGCUCAGUUCCAGUCAUUUACUGGGGAAGGUGGUUUUUCUUAGGGGUUUAGGGAAUCGGAGUUAGUUAGAUUUUAACUCUAGGAGGCAAGAGUAUAGUGGAAGUGAAGGAAGAAAGCCCCUAAGGAGCCAUCUCUGGGGACACUGCAGAGUGGCCAACGGAGUGACACGUCAGGGCACAGAAAGGGUCCAGAGUAGAAGAAAUAGGAGCAGAACAGGUCAGGAAGGUGGACUGGACUCUCCAAGGGAGGGCUGAGAGCUUACCCACCCAAAGUGGAUCCCAGCGCCUCAGGCUUCAUGAUUCUUUGGUUUCUUGGUCACCAGAGGUAGAGCAUGGAGGUGUCUGGAAGCUGAGGACACUUAGGAGGGAAGGAGCCCCUGCUGACACAUCCUGUUGGUUCUGGGGUGGAGUGUAGGCAGGAGUGAUGUGCUGUUCCAGGAGAUAUAGUUUCACGUGAAAAUUGCUCCCAGGAGUUUUGUAACAGCAGUCUUCACGAUUAUUGCAGGUAGCUGACCGAGCUAGGACUACUCAGCAGGACUGAUAAUCCACACUAGUUUACCUCGAAAAUAGAUCAGAAAUCUACAUUCACAUCACCUCCCUUAAGAUGAGCCACGGUGAAAAUACACAGAGAUAAGAAUCAGUAAUGCAGUCUUAGCUGGAGCUGCAUGGAAUGGACCAUCGUGCGCGUCUGAGGCCACACAGUGUUUGUAGGUUAAUAGAGAGGCUGACUUUGUCUUCA
Molecule: long non-coding RNA, 1250 nt
Filed under: Equus asinus (donkey)
Lineage: Eukaryota; Metazoa; Chordata; Mammalia; Perissodactyla; Equidae
Description: lncRNA (ENSEASG00005029900.1, ENSEASG00020020999.1)
Source: RNAcentral